UCGGGAAUUUUGGGCAAUGGGCGAGAGCCUGACCCAGCAACGCCGCGUGAAGGAUGAAAUCCCUCGGGAUGUAAACUUCGCAAGAACGGGAAGAGUAAGUAAGAGUUAACAUCUCUUAUGAUGACGGUACUGUUUGUAAGCUCCGGCUAACUCCGUGCCAGCAGCCGCGGUAAUACGGGGGGAGCAAGCGUUGUUCGGAUUUACUGGGCGUAAAGGGCGCGUAGGCGGCCACCGCAAGUCGACUGUGAAAUCUCCGGGCUUAACUCGGAAAGGUCAGCCGAUACUGCGGGGCUAGAGUGCAGAAGGGGCAACUGGAAUUCUCGGUGUAGCGGUGAAAUGCGUAGAUAUCGAGAGGAACACCUGCGGCGAAGGCGGGUUGCUGGGCUGACACUGACGCUGAGGCGCGAAAGCUAGGGGAGCGAACGGGAUUAGAUACCCCGGUAGUCCUAGCCUUAAACGAUGAAUGCUUGGUGUCUGGGGUUUUAUAGUCCCCGGGUGCCGUCGCUAACGCUUUAAG
Molecule: ribosomal RNA, 517 nt
Filed under: uncultured Acidobacteriota bacterium
Lineage: Bacteria; Pseudomonadati; Acidobacteriota
Description: bacterial SSU rRNA
Rfam family: Bacterial small subunit ribosomal RNA
Source: RNAcentral